CCGAAGCUGUGAACCGAAGCCCCAGUAAACGGCGGCCGUAACUAUAACGGUCCUAAGGUAGCGAAAUUCCUUGUCAGGUAAAUUCUGACCCGCACGAAUGGCGUAACGACUUGGGCGCUGUCUCAACGAGAGAUCCGGUGAAAUUUUAAUACCUGUGAAGAUGCAGGUUACCCGCGACAAGACGGAAAGACCCCAUGGAGCUUUACUGUAACUUGAUAUUGGACUUUGGUACGAUCUGUACAGGAUAGGUGGGAGCCUUUGAAGCAUGAGCGCCAGCUUGUGUGGAGGCAACGUUGGGAUACCACCCUGAUCGUAUCGGAGUUCUAACCUGCUGCCGUGAAACCGGCAGAGGGACCGUGUCAGGUGGACAGUUUGACUGGGGCGGUCGCCUCCUAAAAUGUAACGGAGGCGCCCAAAGGUUCCCUCAGAAUGGUUGGAAAUCAUUCGAAGAGUGCAAAGGCAUAAGGGAGCUUGACUGCGAGACCUACAAGUCGAGCAGGGACGAAAGUCGGGCUUAGUGAUCCGGUGGUACCGAAUGGAAGGGCCAUCGCUCAACGGAUAAAAGCUACCCUGGGGAUAACAGGCUUAUCUCCCCCAAGAGUCCACAUCGACGGGGAGGUUUGGCACCUCGAUGUCGGCUCAUCGCAUCCUGGGGCUGAAGUAGGUCCCAAGGGUUGGGCUGUUCGCCCAUUAAAGCGGUACGCGAGCUGGGUUCAGAACGUCGUGAGACAGUUCGGUCCCUAUCUGUCGCGGGCGCAGGAAAUUUGAGAGGAGCUGUCCUUAGUACGAGAGGACCGGGAUGGACGUACCGCUGGUGUACCAGUUGUUCCGCCAGGAGCACCGCUGGGUAGCCAAGUACGGACGGGAUAAGCGCUGAAAGCAUCUAAGCGUGAAGCCCCCCUCAAGAUGAGAUUUCCCAGUAUGUAAGACCCCUUGAAGACGACGAGGUUGAUAGGUUCGGGGUGGAAGCACAGCAAUGUGUGUAGCUGACGAAUACUAAUCGGUCGAGGGCUUAUCCUA
This 1020-nucleotide ribosomal RNA is filed under the name Paenibacillus endophyticus. RNAcentral describes it as "Bacterial large subunit ribosomal RNA". It matches the Rfam family "Bacterial large subunit ribosomal RNA", at positions 1899 to 2925 of the family's 2925-position model. Lineage: Bacteria; Bacillati; Bacillota; Bacilli; Caryophanales; Paenibacillaceae. The record is from Rfam by way of RNAcentral.